UUUCAAUGAGACAACGGUUGCUGCAGUUGGAAGCAUUAAUCCACCCUUUCUUUGAUGAGCUUCGAGAUCCAAACACCCGCUUGCCAAAUGGAAGGUUCCUUCCACCUCUCUUCAACUUCAAGCCCCAUGAGUUGAAAGGAGUUCCCAUGGAGAUGCUGGUGAAACUGAUUCCUGAACACGCCAGAAAGCAGUGUCCUGUUCUAGGUAUGUAAUGUAUUUGCUGGAAAGAUCACCAAUGGACUAUAUAUAUCAUGCGCGUCUGAGAUUUCAGAAGGACAAGUCUGAGGAUUUAGCUGGCCAUGCGAACUUUUCUUUUGAUUUUUUUAUUUGAUUUGGAGCUUUGCAUCGCCUUCGGUGCCUUUUAUUGUAAAGCAUAUUUAGAAGGUCCGCUGACCUUUCAAAAUCUUAAAUAUCUUUUCAAACUCCUGCUUUUCUUAUCUAUCUGUUUAUCUACAAAUUGUAACAUUGGUAGGGAAGAGAUUGCUUUUUUUCA
This is a long non-coding RNA of Phalaenopsis equestris, 493 nucleotides long. RefSeq lists it as uncharacterized. Lineage: Eukaryota; Viridiplantae; Streptophyta; Magnoliopsida; Asparagales; Orchidaceae. The transcript is spliced from 2 exons. The record is from RefSeq and is a predicted model, not a curated record.